UUGCCCACUUUGAGAUGAUCUGUUCUAUAAGUGGCCAAUAUAGAGGGGUAUAGCAAAGCUCUAUAAAACUCAAAGUAAAAGAAAUCCAUUUUUGCUUUGAAUCCUGUCUAGUGCAACAAAG
This is a small nucleolar RNA of Pseudophryne corroboree (corroboree frog), 121 nucleotides long. RefSeq annotates it as small nucleolar RNA SNORA26. The transcript has a single exon. NCBI's taxonomy places the organism in Eukaryota, Metazoa, Chordata, Amphibia, Anura, Myobatrachidae. The record is from RefSeq and is a predicted model, not a curated record.